This is a non-coding RNA of Myotis davidii, 76 nucleotides long. Lineage: Eukaryota; Metazoa; Chordata; Mammalia; Chiroptera; Vespertilionidae. The record is from Rfam.
GGCUGUUCUUGAGUGAUGCACCCCAGAAUUAGACUCCCUCCUCUCUGGUUCCGGGGUGUGUCACCCGAGAACCGCC